AAUGAACGCUGGCGGCGUGCCUAACACAUGCAAGUCGAACGAGAAAGCCUGGCUUGCCAGGCAAGUAAAGUGGCGCACGGGUGAGUAACGCGUGGGUAAUCUACCUUUGUUUGGGGGAUAACCUACCGAAAGGUGGGCUAAUACCGCAUAACGUGAUCGGGUUGCGACCUGAUCACCAAAGAUGGCCUCUCCAUGGAAGCUAUCGAGUGAAGAUGAGCCCGCGUCCCAUUAGCUAGUUGGUAAGGUAACGGCCUACCAAGGCGACGAUGGGUAGCCGGCCUGAGAGGGUGGUCGGCCACACUGGAACUGAGACACGGUCCAGACUCCUACGGGAGGCUG
This 339-nucleotide ribosomal RNA is filed under the name uncultured Pseudomonadota bacterium. RNAcentral describes it as "bacterial SSU rRNA". It matches the Rfam family "Bacterial small subunit ribosomal RNA", at positions 29 to 351 of the family's 1533-position model. Lineage: Bacteria; Pseudomonadati; Pseudomonadota. The record is from RNAcentral.